CAUCUAGUUCUUAGAGAAGUCAGUGACCAUGCAAGUGAACCUUGUGUCAGACAGGUUCAGCUAGGCUAUGUUAUGUAACAGUGCCCAAAUCUCAACGGCUUAAAAUCACAAAAGCUUCUCUCUCACACUGCAUGUCUACGAUAGUCUGGCAGAGGGCUCUCAUCAUAAGUUAUUCAGGAAUCCAAGCCAUGGAGCUCCACCAUUUGAGAUCCUACCGUGUCACCAUGAGGAUUAGAGCGCCCCCGUCCCAUCCCCUGUGAAGUAAGAACGAAGAAUUGUUCCCGCUGGCCUGGUAGCAUAGCCGUUAAGUUUGCGCGCUCCACUUGGGUAGCUGGGCUUGGCCGGUUCGGAUCCUGGGUGCGGUCCUAUGCACCACUUAUCAAGCAAUGCUGUGGCAGGCAUCUCACAUAUAAAACAGAAAAAGAUGGGCACAGAUGUUAGCUCAGGGCUACUCUACCUCAAAAAGAAAAAAUGACAAGAAUCGUUCAUGGGCUUUUUAAUGCUUUUGUCUGGAAAGGACACGUAUCACUUCUAUUUACAUUUCAUUAGCCAAAGUCAGUCAUAUAGCCACACCCAACUUCAAGAGGGCUAGAGGAGCAAUCUUUUCAUAUGCCAGGAAGGAGAAGGAAAGCAGAAAUACUUCAUUAAAAGAAGAAGAGUUCAUCAUUUGCAGUGAUUCUCAAACAGCUGCAAGUGAAAACUGUCUGAGGCUUGUGAUGUGAUCCUCGUUAUUCCUGCCUCCACACUGCCUAUUGCCACAGUCCCUGGCUACUCCACGAAAGCAUUCUGCUUUGCUGCAAUGCUUCCCACCAACCACUGUAUCUGCCUCCUUCUUCAUCAGUUUGGCAGCCUCUGUGGGAGUCACUCCUAUUUUACUUUAAUUGCUGCCCAUUGGAACUUCACAGAAAAAAGUGACUGGACAAGGUUCCUCCUGACGUCAGUUUUUAACGGCCUUGACGCUUAUCCCCUGCUUGAAGCACUGGAGAAAUAUCCGCUUUAUAUAUGGCUUCAUAUGCAGCUGAAUUCUGUGGUGGCUGGGACAUGUUCAUGACUUUUACCCGCACUUCUUUG
This 1071-nucleotide long non-coding RNA is filed under the name Equus caballus (horse). RNAcentral describes it as "lncRNA (ENSECAG00000057125.1)". The record is from RNAcentral. Lineage: Eukaryota; Metazoa; Chordata; Mammalia; Perissodactyla; Equidae.